UACAGAGGGGGCAAGCGUUGUUCGGAAUUACUGGGCGUAAAGGGCGCGUAGGUGGCCUUCUAAGUUGAACGUGAAAUCCCUGGGCUCAACCCAGGAACUGCGUCCAAGACUGGGAGGCUUGAAUCCGGGAGAGGGAUGCGGAAUUCCCGGUGUAGCGGUGAAAUGCGCAGAUAUCGGGAGGAACACCUAUGGCGAAGGCAGCUCGCUGGGACGUUACUGACGCUGAGACGCGAAAGCGUGGGGAGCAAACAGG
This 253-nucleotide ribosomal RNA is filed under the name uncultured bacterium. Its description in RNAcentral is "partial 16S ribosomal RNA". It matches the Rfam family "Bacterial small subunit ribosomal RNA", at positions 524 to 776 of the family's 1533-position model. The record is from RNAcentral.